RNAcentral lists this ribosomal RNA (905 nucleotides) under uncultured fungus. Its description in RNAcentral is "eukaryotic LSU rRNA". The stretch from base 346 to 905 matches the Rfam family "Eukaryotic large subunit ribosomal RNA", at positions 1 to 505 of the family's 3401-position model. The record is from RNAcentral. Lineage: Eukaryota; Fungi.
GAUCAUUGGAAUAAUACUAAAGAAUGUGGGAAUGUGAUAUUCACCGAUUGCAAACUACAAACAUUAUUACUUACAACUGCUGACAAUGGAUCUCUGGGCUCUUGCGUCGAUGAAGAACGCAGCUAAACGCGAAAAGUGUUAUGACGUGCAGUCUUUGAGAAUCAUGAAUGUUUGAACGCACAUUGCGGCGAGGAUCCGAGAGGAUGCAGCCAUGACUGUUUGAGCGAGGUAUUGAUCGUGGAGAGAACUCUGGAGUGGGACGUAGCACGCGCUUGUCCUCAAAUGUUUUACUGGUGGUGGUGUGACUUGGAAUAAUUCCUCAUGAUACACCCCUUUACACGCACACCCCCUCAAAUCAGUCAAGACGACCCGCUGAACUUAAGCAUAUCAGUAAGCGGAGGAAAAGAAACUAACGAGGAUUCCUGCAGUAACGGCGAGUGAAGAAGGAACAGCUCACAUUUGGAAGCAUUACCACCUGGUGGUGAUGCGUUGUAAAUGGUAGUGUGUGUAGAAGAAAGUAACGGGAUGCGUGCAAGACUGCUGGAAAGCAGCGCCACAGAGGAUGACAGCUCCGUAGCACCAUGUACCACUACUCUAUCUACCUACCCACACGACGAGUCGGACUGUUUGGGAUUGCAGUCUUAAAUGGGUGAUACGCGUCAUCUAAAGCUAAAUAGCGGCAAGAGACCGAUAGCGGACAAGUACCGUGAGGGAAAGAUGAAAAGCACUCUUGGCAGAGAGUGAAAAGUGCGUGAAAUUGUCAGCAGGGAAGCGGGUGUGGUGGUCAAGGGUUAGGGAGUGAGCGCUUGCGCGCGAACUGCCGAGCGUGGGAGAUGCGAGUGGGUGGACAAUACUAGGAAAGGAGUACGUGCUUUGGCACGCGAUUCUUUUACUGGAGCAACAUG